CCCGUUCUACUUCUCAUGUAAAACAUUGUGACUGAACGUUGUACUUUGGAUGAGAUGCGUGAGAUUUGUUGCGCCUCUUGUUAGAUAGAAAGGAAGCCCUAUUUGUCUCACUUUAUUGAGGUAAAUGCCAGUAUCUCUCAAUUUUAGUUGUCCUAGAAAUGAACAGGCAAGGUGCACUAAUUUUGAAUGUCAAGUUGGAAAACUCCAUUUUUUAUUUUUUAUUUUUAGAAAAGGAGGAUGACACCCGGCCUCUGCAUUUGGUCGAUGCAUACGGCCACUUUAUUAAUUAUUCUCACAAGACCUUACAAAGCCAUACAACAGCAAAACUAAAGCCACCGUCUAAGCAACAACUGUCGCUACACCUAUCCAAUUGAUGAAGCGGCGCAGAUAGUUUGGGCCUAAUACUAAACAGACAUCGCAGCAAAACCUAACCAUCUAAGACCUGAGGUCCCAACCAGGACGCUUGCCGGGUAUGGGGCAUCUACCAGUCUGAUGCACUCCUCAACCAGGACGCCUGUCGGGUAUGGGGCACCUACCAGUCCGACGCACUCAACCAGGACGCUUGCCGGGUACGAGGCCGCCGUAGCCACCUGCCAUCAAUCCAUCUUCAGAGUUGUACUGUUGCAUGUACCGUGCCAGGUCUCUCUGUCAUCGACGCCACCACGACGCCCGAUAGCGUCGUCCUCCUGCGCGAGUCCAUCCUCCCACAGCGAACUCUGAAUCUGCAUUGCACCACGCCGUCAAGAUCCGUCGCCAUCAGUGUGUAGGAUGAAGCACCGCUCCACCAAAGAAUCCGUCCUUUGGUCCCUCGAUCACGUGUGUACCUCCAAGAAUGACGCCCCCAAAGGAAGGAACGACACCAGAGCGCCGCAGUCACCCGAUCAUCCGAUCUGGGGUUUCCCCCGUAGGUAGCAGAGAGUGGCCUUGAACUUCUCCACGGCGAUGCCUUCAAGAAGGGAACGACGCAGAUAGCGCCACCACCUCUGGCCUUAGCAAGAGCCGAAGUCAAGUUUUCACCCAGAUUAGUUCGAAGGUAUCCAACUCUCGUGCCCGGGCCGCCGUCACCACCAGCACCACCAGGCAGACCCUGGAGUACCGGCAUAUCAGCGAGCCGCCGGCACCACCGCAUCCAGAUCACCGGCCACGCCGGGCCGCCGCCAUCCCCCGCGCCGUCCGGGUCAGAGACGGAGCCGCCGACCGCGCACAGGGACCGCCGCCGCCUGCACACGCCAGAGUGCCUUCGAGAGCCCAGCGCCCGCCACCGCUUGCCGAAGCCAACCGCCCUAUAGGAAAACUCCAAUUUGUCCUAUAGAAAUGGAUAGGCAAGGUGCAAUCCCUUUGCAUGAAAGGUUUC
Molecule: long non-coding RNA, 1354 nt
Filed under: Triticum aestivum (bread wheat)
Lineage: Eukaryota; Viridiplantae; Streptophyta; Magnoliopsida; Poales; Poaceae
Description: long non-coding RNA (TAES_LNC007153)
Source: RNAcentral